Molecule: ribosomal RNA, 439 nt
Filed under: uncultured bacterium
Lineage: Bacteria
Description: partial 16S ribosomal RNA
Rfam family: Bacterial small subunit ribosomal RNA
Source: RNAcentral
CUACGGGAAGCUGCAGUGGGGAAUAUUGCACAAUGGAGGAAACUCUGAUGCAGCAACGCCGCGUGGAGGAUGACACUUUUCGGAGCGUAAACUCCUUUUAUAUAGGAAGAAGAUGACGGUACUAUAUGAAUAAGCGCCGGCUAACUCCGUGCCAGCAGCCGCGGUAAUACGGAGGGCGCAAGCGUUACUCGGAAUCACUGGGCGUAAAGAGCGUGUAGGCGGAUUAAAAAGUCAGAAGUGAAAUCCUAUAGCUUAACUAUAGAACUGCUUCUGAAACUCUUAAUCUAGAAUGUGGGAGAGGUAGAUGGAAUUUCUGGUGUAGGGGUAAAAUCCGUAGAGAUCAGAAGGAAUACCGAUUGCGAAGGCGAUCUACUAGAACAUUAUUGACGCUGAGACGCGAAAGCGUGGGGAGCAAACAGGAUUAGAUACCCUCGUAGUC